RNAcentral lists this ribosomal RNA (448 nucleotides) under uncultured bacterium. RNAcentral's name for it is "bacterial SSU rRNA". It matches the Rfam family "Bacterial small subunit ribosomal RNA", at positions 331 to 794 of the family's 1533-position model. The record is from RNAcentral.
CCAGACUCCUACGGGAGGCAGCAGUGGGGGAUAUUGCACAAUGGGGGAAACCCUGAUGCAGCGACGCCGCGUGGGCGAAGAAGUAUUUCGGUAUGUAAAGCCCUAUCAGCAGGGAAGAAGAAAUGACGGUACCUGAAGAAGAAGCCCCGGCUAACUACGUGCCAGCAGCCGCGGUAAUACGUAGGGGGCAAGCGUUAUCCGGAUUUACUGGGUGUAAAGGGGGCGCAGACGGCAGCGCAAGCCAGGAGUGAAAGCCCGGGGCCCAACCCCGGGACUGCUCUUGGAACUGCGCGGCUGGAGUGCAGGAGGGGCAGGCGGAAUUCCUGGUGUAGCGGUGAAAUGCGUAGAUAUCAGGAGGAACACCGGCGGCGAAGGCGGCUUACUGGACGGCAACUGACGUUGAGGCCCGAAAGCGUGGGGAGCGAACAGGAUUAGAUACCCUCGUAUU